UGGGGAAUAUUGGACAAUGGGGGCAACCCUGAUCCAGCCAUGCCGCGUGUGUGAAGAAGGCCUUUUGGUUGUAAAGCACUUUAAGCAGGGAGGAGAGGCUAAUGGUUAAUACCCAUUAGAUUAGACGUUACCUGCAGAAUAAGCACCGGCUAACUCUGUGCCAGCAGCCGCGGUAAUACAGAGGGUGCGAGCGUUAAUCGGAAUUACUGGGCGUAAAGCGAGUGUAGGUGGCUCAUUAAGUCACAUGUGAAAUCCCCGGGCUUAACCUGGGAACUGCAUGUGAUACUGGUGGUGCUAGAAUAUGUGAGAGGGAAGUAGAAUUCCAGGUGUAGCGGUGAAAUGCGUAGAGAUCUGGAGGAAUACCGAUGGCGAAGGCAGCUUCCUGGCAUAAUAUUGACACUGAGAUUCGAAAGCGUGGGUAGCAAAACAGGAUUAGAUACCCUGGUAGUCCACGCCGUAAACGAUGUCUACUAGCCGUUGGGGUCCUUGAGACUUUAGUGGCGCAGUUAACGCGAUAAGUAGACCGCCUGGGGGAGUACGGCCGC
Molecule: ribosomal RNA, 545 nt
Filed under: uncultured bacterium
Lineage: Bacteria
Description: partial 16S ribosomal RNA
Rfam family: Bacterial small subunit ribosomal RNA
Source: RNAcentral